Sphaerodactylus townsendi is the source of this 89-nucleotide small nucleolar RNA. RefSeq annotates it as small nucleolar RNA SNORD90. The transcript has a single exon. NCBI's taxonomy places the organism in Eukaryota, Metazoa, Chordata, Lepidosauria, Squamata, Sphaerodactylidae. The record is from RefSeq and is a predicted model, not a curated record.
UGUCUGGUGAUGAACAUGCAUAGGGCAGAUUAUGAGCUGAGAGGCCCAGCCUCUCAUCACUGAUCCUCCAGUUAUGCAACCUGAAGACA